Molecule: long non-coding RNA, 1656 nt
Filed under: Homo sapiens (human)
Lineage: Eukaryota; Metazoa; Chordata; Mammalia; Primates; Hominidae
Description: HSALNT0068036
Source: RNAcentral
GGAAGUAUGAUGAAGGAAGAGAGACAAGGAUGUUUGCAAGAGACUAUGAGGCUUGUCCCAGGAAUUGAAACUGGGGAGAAGGAAAGGGAAGAACAGGAGGGGGCAGUGGGAGACAGCAGAAGAUAGCAGGAUCACUGGCCUGUGGGCUGAGAGGGGUUUGGAGCCAGGUCAUGAGGACACUCAGAUAGCCUGUAGAGACCCACAUGGGGAAGAACUGAGGGUAGUCCAUUAUGCAGCAAUAGAUAACUAAGACAGGAUGUGCCUAGAGAAUUUGCUCUAGGACACAGUCCCAGUUCCCAGGGCAUGGGUCCUGGUGUCUCAGCUGCAUACCAAGCCUGUGGGCUGAGAGGGGUUUGGAGCCAGGUACCAAAGCAUUCAUGAGGGACAUUGAUGAGGUUAGAAUGAGGUCUCUCCAUGCAGGCUGGGCCAGAAUUCCUAUGGCAGUUGCUUCCUGUUAAGUCCAGGUGGCCUCAUCCUGAGCAGGUGCAGCCCACUCCUCAGCCAAGGACAGUGGGACAUCUCAGGCUUCCCUGCAAACACUUUCCUCUCCAGGGCCUUCCCCACAGAUUCCAGCUGUGCUACUGUCCCCAGUUCAGUGGGGUGCUGCACACUGGUGCUCUGGCUGGGCUCCACCUUCUGCACAUAUAUUUUCUUUUAUUUUCUUUUCUUUUUUAAUUUUAUUGUACUUUAAGUUCCAGGAUGCAUGUGCAGAAUGUGCAAGUUUGUUACGUAGGUAAACGUGCGCCACGGUGGUUUGCUGCACCUAGAUUUGCUUUUUGUUUUUUAUUUUUUGAGACAGAGUCUCUGUCACCCAGGCUGGAGUGUAGUGGCGUGAUCAUAGCUCACUGCAGCCUUGAACUCCCAGGCUCAAGCAAUCCUCCUGCCUCGGCCUCUGGAGUAGCUAGGACUACAGGCAUACGCCACCAUGCUCAGCUAAUUUUUAAAUUUUUGUAGAGAUGAGGUCUCCUUAUGUUGCCCAGGUUGGUCUCCAACUCGGGUUCAAGCCAUCCACCUGCCUGGGCCUCCCAGAGUGCUGGGAUUACAGGCAGGAGCUACUGUGCCCAGCCAGAUUUGCUUUUUAGAUCCUUCUACAUUUGUGGGGAAACUGGUGAACUCUGAAUUGACCCUGGUGAUCAGUUAAUAGUAAGGGACCAGUGUUGGUUUCCACCAAGCUACCCUGGAAAUGUAAGAUGUUACCAUUAGGGGAAACCAGGUUGGGGGACUCCCUAUGAUCUUCGCAGCUUUUCAGUAAAUCUAAAAUUAUUGCAGUAAAAAACAGUAAAACAUCUGGCUGGCUGGCAGAAGGGGAGGCAGCCUCUGUCCUGCGUGGCUGUCCCAGACUGGCUGGGGUGGCACUCUGGCUGUCCCUGGUCAGUCCCUAACUCAGGCUGCCAAAGACGGUCGCCAGUCUAGGGAAGAAGCGGCCCAACGCGCUCCCCAAAGACGUCGCUGCAGGCACAGGGUUUAGGAAGAACUUUUAUUUUCUUCCUUCUGCUGCUGUGGGUUUUAAUUUCCUGCCAUUUUCAUAAUUAAAAAAAGAAGUGCUAUUUUAGCACGAAACAAUGUUUCUUUAGCCAAAGCCAGAGUGAGUGGGCAGCAAUGGCCGCGCGCCCUGCUCUGGGUGGUCCCGACCCCGGGGAAGUCCCUGUGCAGAAC